This 429-nucleotide ribosomal RNA is filed under the name Chloroflexota bacterium. Its description in RNAcentral is "Chloroflexi bacterium partial 16S ribosomal RNA". It matches the Rfam family "Bacterial small subunit ribosomal RNA", at positions 355 to 776 of the family's 1533-position model. Lineage: Bacteria; Bacillati; Chloroflexota. The record is from RNAcentral.
UGGGGAAUAUUGCACAAUGGGCGCAAGCCUGAUGCAGCCAUGCCGCGUGUAUGAAGAAGGCCUUCGGGUUGUAAAGUACUUUCAGCGGGGAGGAAGGGAGUAAAGUUAAUACCUUUGCUCAUUGACGUUACCCGCAGAAGAAGCACCGGCUAACUCCGUGCCAGCAGCCGCGGUAAUACGGAGGGUGCAAGCGUUAAUCGGAAUUACUGGGCGUAAAGCGCACGCAGGCGGUUGAUUGAGUCAGAUGUGAAAUCCCCGGGCUCAACCUGGGAACUGCAUCUGAUACUGGCAAGCUUGAGUCUCGUAGAGGGGGGUAGAAUUCCAGGUGUAGCGGUGAAAUGCGUAGAGAUCUGGAGGAAUACCGGUGGCGAAGGCGGCCCCCUGGACGAAGACUGACGCUCAGGUGCGAAAGCGUGGGGAGCAAACAGG